This 466-nucleotide ribosomal RNA is filed under the name uncultured bacterium. RNAcentral's name for it is "partial 16S ribosomal RNA". It matches the Rfam family "Bacterial small subunit ribosomal RNA", at positions 28 to 505 of the family's 1533-position model. The record is from RNAcentral.
GACGAACGCUGGCGGCGUGCUUAACACAUGCCAGUCGAACGGAAAGGCCCUGCUUUUGUGGGGUGCUCGAGUGGCGAACGGGUGAGUAACACGUGAGUAACCUGCCCUUGACUUUGGGAUAACUUCAGGGAACUGGGGCUAAUACCGGAUAGGAGCUCCUGCUGCAUGGUGGGGGUUGGAAAGUUUCGGCGGUUGGGGAUGGACUCGCGGCUUAUCAGCUUGUUGGUGGGGUAGUGGCUUACCAAGGCUUUGACGGGUAGCCGGCCUGAGAGGGUGACCGGCCACAUUGGGACUGAGAUACGGCCCAGACUCCUACGGGAGGCAGCAGUGGGGAAUAUUGCACAAUGGGCGGAAGCCUGAUGCAGCAACGCCGCGUGCGGGAUGACGGCCUUCGGGUUGUAAACCGCUUUCGCCUGGGACGAAGCGUGAGUGACGGUAAUGGGUAAAGAAGCACCGGCUAACUACG